CACCCAGAAGAUGACCUUCAGCAAUCAUAAUCUUAGUCAAGAAACAGAAAUAAAAAAGCAUCUCAUUUCAGUGCCUAUGGAAAGGCUUGUGUAGAUGCAUCAAAAUUUGGGUGGUGUUUCUUAUCCAUGUGAAUCAAAAUAUCCAUCUCAAAAGCAAGGACUCUGAAAAGCAAAUGGCCCAUCAGUGUGGUAUUACCAACAUGUCUUUUGUUUCCUGCAAAAGAUGCUCCAUCAUGGAGGGAGAAAGGCACCACUGGAUGGAUUCCUUUAAUUUCUGUCUCCUUUUCUUUGACCAACCAAUAUGGUAGAUGAUGGAAACUCUAUUAAUGGAGGUUUUCAAGAGCAGGUAUCAAAGUUAGACUGAUCAGUCUGUAAUUUCCUGGAUUCCUGGCAUCAGUCAUUUCAAGCAAGCUCAACUCACUAUGAAGGUGGAUAGACAAGGGAGACAAAGUGAAAGAGCUGUGACCCAACAUCACCACGAUCCACUCCUUCCCGGAACUAUUUGCCAUAUCUGUAGUCAAAUAUGCAGGUUUUGGAUGAGCCUCUUGAGUCAUCUCUGGAUUCACCGAUGGCUUCCCUAUUUACUGAAAGACUAUCAUCCUCCUAUCGAGGGACUGCCAAUGACAAUAUUUAAUCUUUUUUUCCAGUUCUUCUGAGACCUCACUUGACCUCCAAGAGUUCUCCAAGAUAAUAUCUAAUGGCUUUGCAGUUAUCUCAGCCAAUUACUUGAGUUCUCUAGGAUUAAUCCUGUGGCUUUUCUGGUUUGAAAACAUCUUGUUUAUUUAAAUGAUCCAUCACUUGUUCUUUCCAUUUUCUUGGGUGAGUGAGUAGCUGGGUGUCCUUGCUGGUAAAUGUGCUCACUGUGUGAGAGCUCAUUUUGAGUGGGCACGGAAAUAAAAAAAAAAAAUUAGCACUUCAGCCUUCUCCACAUUAUUAUCUUCUCCUCCCCAUUCAGUAAGGGACCUAUACUUUUUCUUGUUUGUAGAACACUUUCUUUGCUACCUUUUAUGUCUCUUGCUAGCUAUACCUCUAUUGUCCUUUGACCUUUUUGAUUUUGCUACUCCAUGCUCCUACACUGCAGUCUUAUAGACAUUGUUAGUAAUAUGGCCAAGUUUCCACCUUUUGUAGAAAUCCCUUCAAAAUCUCAUCUUGGAUCUAUUGUGAGCAAAUUAUUGUCAUUAAGGAUGCCAUUUUGAAAAAAUGCAGAUCAAUAAAUGCCAUUCUGG
Alligator sinensis (Chinese alligator) is the source of this 1226-nucleotide long non-coding RNA. RefSeq lists it as uncharacterized. NCBI's taxonomy places the organism in Eukaryota, Metazoa, Chordata, Crocodylia, Alligatoridae. The transcript is spliced from 4 exons. The record is from RefSeq and is a predicted model, not a curated record.